AGUCAUGCACUAAAUAGGGAGCAAGGGAGCAUCCUAUAACUCUCUAUAACUGUUCUGAGACCAGUGCAGACAGACAGCACACUGGAGGUUAAGUCAUGCACUAAAUAGGGAGCAAGGGAGCAUCCUAUAACUCUCUAUAACUGUUCUGAGACCAGUGCAGACAGACAGCACACUGGAGGUUAAGUCAUGCACUAAAUAGGGAGCAAGGGAGCAUCCUAUAACUCUCUAUAACUGUUCUGAGACCAGUGCAGACAGACAGCACACUGGAGGUUAAGUCAUGCACUAAAUAGGGAGCAAGGGAGCAUCCUAUAACUCUCUAUAACUGUUCUGAGACCAGUGCAGACAGACAGCACACUGGAGGUUAAGUCAUGCACUAAAUAGGGAGCAAGGGAGCAUCCUAUAACUCUCUAUAACUGUUCUGAGACCAGUGCAGACAGACAGCACACUGGAGGUUAAGUCAUGCACUAAAUAGGGAGCAAGGGAGCAUCCUAUAACUCUCUAUAACUGUUCUGAGACCAGUGCAGACAGACAGCACACUGGAGGUUAAGUCAUGCACUAAAUAGGGAGCAAGGGAGCAUCCUAUA
Molecule: long non-coding RNA, 584 nt
Organism: Xyrauchen texanus (razorback sucker)
Lineage: Eukaryota; Metazoa; Chordata; Actinopteri; Cypriniformes; Catostomidae
Exons: 4
Source: RefSeq, a predicted model, not a curated record